RNAcentral lists this ribosomal RNA (253 nucleotides) under uncultured bacterium. RNAcentral describes it as "partial 16S ribosomal RNA". It matches the Rfam family "Bacterial small subunit ribosomal RNA", at positions 524 to 776 of the family's 1533-position model. The record is from RNAcentral.
AACGCAGGGGGCUAGCGUUGUUCGGAAUUACUGGGCGUAAAGCGCGUGUAGGCGGGCCGUUAAGUUGGGGGUGAAAGCCCAGAGCUCAACUCUGGAAUUGCCUUCGAUACUGGCGGCCUGGAGCAUGAUAGAGGCGAGUGGAAUUGCGAGUGUAGAGGUGAAAUUCGUAGAUAUUCGCAGGAACACCAGUGGCGAAGGCGACUCGCUGGAUCAUUGCUGACGCUGAGACGCGAAAGCGUGGGGAGCAAACAGG